AKCUUAUAAUGCAGUCGACGGAGAGUUUUGUAGUAAUACGGAACUUCUCAGUGGCGAACGGSCGAGUAACGAGUUGGUGACCUGCCCCGAAGUGUGGGAUAACAGUCCGAAAGGAUUGCUAAUACCGCAKGUGAUCACGAUGUUUAGAAGUUGSSRWUAAAAGCCRMUGCGGUUCSGGAGGGAGGGCYYYCCUUCCCWWRWUCKWGWUKGWGRGSUAAYGGCSCACCAMGGSUACGRSGGGUAAGGGACCUGAGAGGGUGGUCCCUCGCAAUGGCACUGAAACACGGGCCAUACACCUACGGGUGGCAGCAGUAGGGAAUAUUGGGCAAUGGGCGAAAGCCUGACCCAGCAACGCCGCGUGCACGAUGAAGGCCUUCGGGUCGUAAAGUGCUUUUCUGAGGAAUGAGAAAGGACAGUACCUCAGGAAUAAGCCUCGGCUAACUACGUGCCAGCAGCCGCGGUAAAACGUAGGAGGCGAGCGUUAUCCGGAUUUACUGGGCGUAAAGCGUGUGUAGGCGGUACGGCAAGUUGGAUGUGAAAGCUCCUGGCUUAACUAGGAGAGGUCGUUCAAUACUACCGAACUUGAGGGCAUCAGAGGAAGGUGGAAUUCCCGGUGUAGUGGUGAAAUGCGUAGAUAUCGGGAGGAACACCAGUGGCGAAAGCGGCCUUCUGGGAUGAUCCUGACGCUCAGACACGAAAGCUAGGGUAGCGAACGGGAUUAGAGACCCCGGUAGUCCU
RNAcentral lists this ribosomal RNA (738 nucleotides) under uncultured bacterium. Its description in RNAcentral is "partial 16S ribosomal RNA". It matches the Rfam family "Bacterial small subunit ribosomal RNA", at positions 48 to 797 of the family's 1533-position model. The record is from RNAcentral.